GUUUCAGGGGGCUCAGUUGGUUAGAGCGCUGCAUCGGAAUUGCAGGGCCGCAGCUUCGAUUCCUGCCAGAGACC
This 74-nucleotide transfer RNA is filed under the name Paramuricea clavata. RNAcentral describes it as "tRNA-Ser". The stretch from base 10 to 66 matches the Rfam family "tRNA", at positions 9 to 63 of the family's 71-position model. Rfam says of the family: Transfer RNA (tRNA) molecules are approximately 80 nucleotides in length. Their secondary structure includes four short double-helical elements and three loops (D, anti-codon, and T loops). Further hydrogen bonds mediate the characteristic L-shaped molecular structure. tRNAs have two regions of fundamental functional importance: the anti-codon, which is responsible for specific mRNA codon recognition, and the 3' end, to which the tRNAs corresponding amino acid is attached (by aminoacyl-tRNA synthetases). tRNAs cope with the degeneracy of the genetic code in two manners: having more than one tRNA (with a specific anti-codon) for a particular amino acid; and 'wobble' base-pairing, i.e. permitting non-standard base-pairing at the 3rd anti-codon position. Lineage: Eukaryota; Metazoa; Cnidaria; Anthozoa; Malacalcyonacea; Plexauridae. The record is from RNAcentral.